GGGCUCACAAGUGGUUCUUGUACCUAAAUUGCAAAUUUGGGGAAUAGAGUUCAAUUCUCUAUGAGCUCU
Molecule: non-coding RNA, 69 nt
Organism: Cutaneotrichosporon spelunceum
Lineage: Eukaryota; Fungi; Basidiomycota; Tremellomycetes; Trichosporonales; Trichosporonaceae
Source: the annotation of a GenBank genome assembly